CAGCCUGCCCAGUGACUACAAGUUCAACGGCCGCGGUAUUUUGACCGUGCAAAGGUAGCGCAAUCACUUGUCUUUUAAAUAGAGACCUGUAUGAAUGGCUAAACGAGGGCUUAACUGUCUCCCCUUUCCAGUCAGUGAAAUUGAUCUACCCGUGCAGAAGCGGGUAUAAUAAUACAAGACGAGAAGACCCUUUGGAGCUUAAGGUACAAAACUCAACCACGUUAAGCAACUCAAUAAAAAGUGAAAACUUUGUGGAACAUGAGAUUUUACCUUCGGUUGGGGCGACCACGGAGGAAAAAAAAGCCUCCAGGUGGAACGGGAGAAUUUCCUAAAACUAAGAGAGACAUCUCUAAGCCACAGAACAUCUGACCAAAUAUGAUCCGGCUGAUACAAGCCGAUCAACGAACCAAGUUACCCUAGGGAUAACAGCGCAAUCCUCUCCCAGAGUCCAUAUCGACGAGGGGGUUUACGACCUCGAUGUUGGAUCAGGACAUCCUAAUGGUGCAGCCGCUAU
This 514-nucleotide ribosomal RNA is filed under the name Carassius auratus (goldfish). RNAcentral describes it as "partial 16S ribosomal RNA". It matches the Rfam family "Bacterial large subunit ribosomal RNA", at positions 1854 to 2565 of the family's 2925-position model. The record is from RNAcentral. Lineage: Eukaryota; Metazoa; Chordata; Actinopteri; Cypriniformes; Cyprinidae.